GUUAUUAUUGUUAGCAUUGUUACUGUUACCUGCAUCCGGCAUGGCGAGGUGCUGGUACUUACCCCAGUAGAUAAGCACGAGAGAAGCCAGGGGAAACAAUCUAUUGAAGGCAGGCAUCUUCUGGGGCUGGCGGCUUCCAAGGCUACACAGAGAGAUUCCCUCGGUCAAGGACUGCGCCCUCUCAGAUUCUUUCGAGGAAACCCUUUGGGACGAACUGCCCCCAGGGGGCGACUUUCUGACCGAAGGAAGGGCCGAGCACCGGUGCCUGGGGAGGCCCUGGGAGCUUUUGGAGCCGGGUGGGGGCUUUGGGCCCUAAGCGACCCCACUGGACCUCCCCAGUUCGAGGGAGCCGAUCAGCCGCUCCGCGCCCGCUCUCGCCGGCGCUCAGCACCACGGACAGUCGCCUCCCCGCCCACCCCGGAACUCCAGCUUCCACUCGCGCCCCUGCCUCGCUCGUUUGCGCCCAGGGAUGUGGAGCUGAGAAGCCCCGAUUUCCACUUUCUGACUCCUAGACUCAGCUGAUUUGAACCCCUCAGUGGAAUAGCAGCAGCCCAUCCGCAGCUUUCCUAGAAGUUCCUGACCUAGUAGCCUGAAAUGCAUUCUAAUCAAGUGAGACAAGGCUGUGGCUGGAAGACUCCCCGUGAGCCAGGGAAUUGAAGCUGCCUCUGCAAGCUGAAUUCGUAAUUGCCAUGAGAAGGCAACAGCAUCAAAUCCUCCAGCGUGCCAAUUCUUUAGGCGACGGACGAAUUGACAACUCCUCACCUUACAUAGGCACCAACUGACUGUUGGUCUUUGCCCAGCUCUGGGUUUGUACCUGCCCUUCUGCCCACAGCGAUGGUGUCAUUUUGACCUUGAUCUGGGAAUUGCUGUUCUUGUCAGCCUGUUGGCUCCCUCUGUUGAGGGAGACAGCUCUUUUGAGUGUCCAGGAGAUGGAAGUACAAAGGUGGACAAAUAUCUACACUCGGAAGGCAGACAAUAGUACCCCCCAAUUUCUGUUUGCACAUAGGUGAGAGCAAGAAAAAAAGGAGAAUACAUUGUAAAGAGUUUUAGUUCAGACACAAUAUGAAAGCACUUGAUUCUAAUGUUAUUUUUUUAAAAUUCAACUAAACACAUGUAGGACAAAUAUAGAACCAUAUCCUAGAGUUUGUUUUUUACUUUUUCUUUUUGAGAAGGAGUCUUGCUCAGUCGCCCGGGCUGGAGUGCAGUGGCGCGAUCUCAGCUCACUGCAAGCUCCUCCUCCCGGGUUCACGCCAUUCUCCGGCCUCAGCCUCCCAAGUAGCUGGGACUACAGGCGCCCGCCUCCACACCCGGCUAAUUUUUUUCUAUUUUUCGGUCUCCUGACCUUGUGAUCGGCCCGCCUCGGCCUCCCAAAGUGCUGGGAUUACAGGCGUGAGCCACCACACCCGGCCUAGCGUGGUUUUUAAAGAGCUUUAUUAUCCUGCUUUUUAAAACUUUAAUACAUUUUCCAAAUUUCUACAAAGAGAACAUAUCUCAACAAAAUUAGGAAAAAAUGCAAAUGAGAAAAGACGGAUACUCAAGUGCAGCUCAGUUCAGUCCAGUGCCAGCUGGCCAGGCCUUUUGCGGCAGGCAGCCUAUAAAGAUGCUCUAUAAAGAUACUGCACGCCUGGGUCUGGAUUCUCCAGGGAGCAGGUGGCUCAGAGAGAGCAUCAGUGACAAGAGCAAGGCAGAUGGUGGGAAGGCGAGGGUGUGGGUGCCACACGGUGGCAUCUCACACACUUCUGUUCAUUCCAUAAACAGGUUUAGUAAGCACCAUUUCCUGGGGGAAAGUCUACUUCUGGAAAGAAUUGUCUAUUGGAAAUGAAGAUCUUUCCCUGCUGCAGAAUAGGCUUAAAGAAACAAGUGCAGGCAGACAAGAGGGUC
Long non-coding RNA from Homo sapiens (human), 1881 nucleotides. RefSeq lists it as uncharacterized. The record is from RefSeq and is a predicted model, not a curated record. The transcript has 3 exons. NCBI's taxonomy places the organism in Eukaryota, Metazoa, Chordata, Mammalia, Primates, Hominidae.